CCUACGGGAGGCAGCAGUAGGGAAUCUUUCACAAUGGGCGAAAGCCUGAUGGAGCAACGCCGCGUGCAGGAUGAAGGCCUUCUGGUUGUAAACUGCUUUUAUAAGCGAGAAAUAUGAUGGUAACUUAUGAAUAAGGAUCGGCUAACUACGUGCCAACAGCCGCGGUCACACGUAGGAUCCGAGCAUUAUCCGGAGUGACUGGGUGUAAAGAGUUGCGUAGGUGGCAUAAUAAGUAGCUAGUGGAAUCUGGUGGCUCAACCAUUCAGACUAUUAGCUAAACUGUUAAGCUCGAGACCGUUAGAGGUAACUGGAAUUUCUAGUGUAGGAGUGAAAUCCGUAGAUAUUAGAAGGAACACCAAUAGCGAAGGCAGGUUACUGGGACGGUUCUGACACUAAGGCACGAAAGCGUAGGGAGCAAACAGGAUUAGAUACCCGAGUAGUC
This 442-nucleotide ribosomal RNA is filed under the name uncultured bacterium. RNAcentral's name for it is "partial 16S ribosomal RNA". It matches the Rfam family "Bacterial small subunit ribosomal RNA", at positions 338 to 795 of the family's 1533-position model. The record is from RNAcentral.